AGUGAACGCUGGCGGUAGGCCUAACACAUGCAAGUCGAACGGCAGCACAGUAAGAGCUUGCUCUUACGGGUGGCGAGUGGCGGACGGGUGAGGAAUACAUCGGAAUCUACUUUUUCGUGGGGGAUAACGUAGGGAAACUUACGCUAAUACCGCAUACGACCUACGGGUGAAAGCAGGGGAUCUUCGGACCUUGCGCGAUUGAAUGAGCCGAUGUCGGAUUAGCUAGUUGGCGGGGUAAAGGCCCACCAAGGCGACGAUCCGUAGCUGGUCUGAGAGGAUGAUCAGCCACACUGGAACUGAGACACGGUCCAGACUCCUAAGGGAGGCAGCAGUGGGGAAUAUUGGACAAUGGGAGCAAGCCUGAUCCAGCCAUACCGCGUGGGUGAAGAAGGCCUUCGGGUUGUAAAGCCCUUUUGUUGGGAAAGAAAAGCAGCAGGUUAAUACCCCGCUGUUCUGACGGUACCCAAAGAAUAAGCACCGGCUAACUUCGUG
This 492-nucleotide ribosomal RNA is filed under the name uncultured bacterium. RNAcentral's name for it is "partial 16S ribosomal RNA". It matches the Rfam family "Bacterial small subunit ribosomal RNA", at positions 29 to 507 of the family's 1533-position model. The record is from RNAcentral.